CGAAAAAUAACGAUACGGGACUCAUCCGAGGCCCCGUAAUCGGAAUGAGUACACUCUAAACCCUUUAACGAGGAUCAAUUGGAGGGCAAGUCUGGUGCCAGCAGCCGCGGUAAUUCCAGCUCCAAUAGCGUAUAUUAAAGUUGUUGCGGUUAAAAAGCUCGUAGUCGAAUUUGUGUCCCGCGCCGCCGGUUCAUCGCUCGCGGUGUCAACUGGCGUGUCCGCGGGACGUCCUGCCGGUGGGCUUAGCCCCUGCGGGGGCGGCCCAAUCUCAAUCCCACCGCGGUGCUCUUCACUGAGUGUCGAGGUGGGCCGGCACGUUUACUUUGAACAAAUUAGAGUGCUUAAAGCAGGCUAAAACAUCGCCUGAAUACUGUGUGCAUGGAAUAAUGGAAUAGGACCUCGGUUCUAUUUUGUUGGUUUUCGGAACCCCGAGGUAAUGAUUAAUAGGAACGGAUGGGGGCAUUCGUAUUGCGACGUUAGAGGUGAAAUUCUUGGAUCGUCGCAAGACGGACAGAAGCGAAAGCAUUUGCCAAAAACGUUUUCAUUGAUCAAGAACGAAAGUUAGAGGUUCGAAGGCGAUCAGAUACCGCCCUAGUUCUAACCAUAAACGAUGCCAGCUAGCGAUCCGCCGACGUUCCUCCGAUUGACUCGGCGGGCAGCUUCCGGGAAACCAAAGCUUUUUGGGUUCCGGGGGAAGUAUGGUUGCAAAGCUGAAACUUAAAGGAAUUGACGGAAGGGCACCACCAGGAGUGGAGCCUGCGGCUUAAUUUGACUCAACACGGGAAACCUCACCAGGCCCGGACACCGGAAGGAUUGACAGAUUGAGAG
This 828-nucleotide ribosomal RNA is filed under the name Nanos hanskii. RNAcentral describes it as "SSU rRNA". It matches the Rfam family "Eukaryotic small subunit ribosomal RNA", at positions 471 to 1254 of the family's 1831-position model. The record is from RNAcentral. Lineage: Eukaryota; Metazoa; Arthropoda; Insecta; Coleoptera; Scarabaeidae.